Molecule: ribosomal RNA, 335 nt
Filed under: uncultured bacterium
Lineage: Bacteria
Description: bacterial SSU rRNA
Rfam family: Bacterial small subunit ribosomal RNA
Source: RNAcentral
GACGAACGCUGGCGGCGUGCUUAAUACAUGCAAGUCAACGACUUUUAGAGUAGCAAUAUUUUAAAAGGAGUGGCGCACGGGUGAGUAACACGUAGGUAAUCUGCCUUCAGGACUGACACAACUCGUCGAAAGACGGGCUAAUAUCAGAUAAUGCAGCGGCUCCGCAUGGAGACAGUUUGUUAAAGUACAAGCGCCUGAAGAUGAGCCUGCGGUCCAUUAGCUAGUUGGUAGAGUAACAGCCUACCAAGGCAACGAUGGAUAGCUGGUCUGAGAGGAUGAUCAGCCACACUGGAACUGAGACACGGUCCAGACUCCUACGGGAGGCAGCAGUAAGG